CGCAUGCCGGCGGCACGUUGCCCGGAGUGAUCGGCCGGCUCGACCACGGCACCAGGGUGCGGCCGGAGCUCGCGCACAUGAAGCAGCCGCCGAGCGCGUACCUGCGCCGCUUCACCUACGACACCAUCGGGCACGACGACCGCAUCAACCUCAAUCUGGUACGGCUGGUCGGCGCCGAUCGCGUCCUGCUGGGCAGCGACUACUGCUUCGACAUGGGGCUCGCCGAACCGGUGCAGACCGUGAACCGUCUGACCGACCUCGCGCAGGCGGAACGCGAUCAGAUCCUGGGCCGCAAUGCGGCCCGCCUACUGGGACUCGACUGACAUGAGAAAAAUCGACCGCCUCGCCGCCACGCUCGCGCUUGCCGCGUUCUGCGGGACUGCAGCCGCGCAGGGCACCUACCCGAACAAGCCGAUUCGCAUGCUCAUUCCCCUCGCCGCAGCGAGCGCGGUCGACAACGCGGCGCGCGUCCUCGGCGCGCGCAUGUCCGAGAACAUGGGCCAGCCGUUCGUGAUCGAGAACAUGGCCGGCGCGUCCGGGCUGAUCGGGGCGGAGCGCGUCGCGAAAGCGGCGCCGGACGGCUACACGAUCGGGGCGUUCAACGACAGCAUCCUAACGAUGCUGCCGAACCUGCACGCGAAGAUGCCGUUCGACGUGCUCAAGGACUUCGAACCGGUGUCCCUCGUCGGCACGAUCGAGUGGGGCUUGAUCGCGUCGAACGACGCGCCGUUUAAGAGCGCCGCCGACGUGAUCUCCGCCGCGACGGCGAACCCGGGCAAGAUCAACUACGCCUCGGGCGGCAACGGCAGCCCGCAGCACAUCGCGAUGGCGCUCUUCGCGUCUACCGCGAACAUCUCGCUCACCCACGUGCCAUACAAGGGCGCGACUCAAGCGGCGACCGAUAUCGCCGCGGGCCAGGUGCCGGUCGGCAUGCAGGGGCUCGGCACGGUCGCGUCGCUCGUGCGCGGCGGGAAGCUCCGCCUGAUCGGGGUCGGCACGCCGCAGCGCCAC
This 1011-nucleotide unclassified non-coding RNA is filed under the name uncultured fungus. RNAcentral's name for it is "sequence contains 18S rRNA gene, ITS1, 5.8S rRNA gene, ITS2, 28S rRNA gene". The record is from RNAcentral. Lineage: Eukaryota; Fungi.